This 140-nucleotide ribosomal RNA is filed under the name Clostridium perfringens. Its description in RNAcentral is "partial 23S ribosomal RNA". It matches the Rfam family "Bacterial large subunit ribosomal RNA", at positions 2790 to 2925 of the family's 2925-position model. Lineage: Bacteria; Bacillati; Bacillota; Clostridia; Eubacteriales; Clostridiaceae. The record is from RNAcentral.
AAGCCAACCUCAAGAUGAGAUUUCCCAUAGCGUAAGCUAGUAAGAUCCCUUGAAGAACACAAGGUUGAUAGGUCGGGGGUGUAAGCAUGGUAACAUGUUCAGCUGACCGAUACUAAUAGAUCGAGGGCUUGACCAAAUAU